Molecule: ribosomal RNA, 225 nt
Filed under: uncultured Prosthecobacter sp.
Lineage: Bacteria; Pseudomonadati; Verrucomicrobiota; Verrucomicrobiia; Verrucomicrobiales; Verrucomicrobiaceae
Description: partial 16S ribosomal RNA
Rfam family: Bacterial small subunit ribosomal RNA
Source: RNAcentral
UGCGUAGGUGGCGUGGUAAGUCAGAUGUGAAAGCCCGGGGCUCAACCUCGGAAUUGCAUCCGAUACUGCUAUGCUAGAGUACUGAAGGGGUGACUAGAAUUCUAGGUGUAGCAGUGAAAUGCGUAGAUAUCUAGAGGAAUACCAAAGGCGUAGGCAGGUCACUGGGCAGUUACUGACACUGAGGCACGAAGGCCAGGGGAGCAAACGGGAUUAGAUACCCCAGUA